This 75-nucleotide antisense RNA is filed under the name Streptomyces sp. DI166. RNAcentral's name for it is "ASpks TB sRNA". It matches the Rfam family "ASpks TB sRNA". Lineage: Bacteria; Bacillati; Actinomycetota; Actinomycetes; Kitasatosporales; Streptomycetaceae. The record is from Rfam by way of RNAcentral.
CUUGAUGGAGCCGAGCCACAGCGGUCGUUCGGGGUCCCGGUUCUGUCCGUAUGUGGCGAGCAGGGCCUGUGCCUC